RNAcentral lists this long non-coding RNA (816 nucleotides) under Rattus norvegicus (Norway rat). RNAcentral's name for it is "long non-coding RNA NONRATT033884". The record is from RNAcentral. Lineage: Eukaryota; Metazoa; Chordata; Mammalia; Rodentia; Muridae.
CCCAGAUCAGAAGAGUACCUAGGUGCAUUAAGUUACUGGGUCUAGGACGCAGACAUAAAUACCAGAGAUGUGAUUUGCAUCCAAGCCUCUCUGACCUUGCACCCUGUGCAAUUUUCCCUAUGCCGGGCUGAGGUAGGUAUUUAAAUAGAGGACACAUGACUGGAGGUGGAUGGACAGUUGAUUCCCAUGUUCCUUACAAAUAUGGAAAGGAAAGCAGUUGGGUUGGGGGAAAAUGGUACAAGUCCAUUUCAUAAGGUAGUAAAAUAUAGACUGAACUAUACUCCAGAUUUGGAUUUUCUUUUCACUCUGGGUUUACCCAUUUGGUAAUAUAUUUUAAAAGAUCAUGCCACCUCUCCUUGUAAAGUGAAGAAUUUGCUGUCAUUAGUAGCUGUGAAUUCUUUGCCUUAGUCAUUUUUUUUGAUAGAGAAAGUGUUUUCCUAGGUGAUUCUGUGCUUUCCCAGUAUGUCAUGGUUUCAUUCAGAAGGCUGAUGGCAUGCAAACAUGCAGAUUGAAGAGGAAAGUUCUCUGUGCCUCUGUGGAAUUGGAUGCCCUGGGGUCAUAUCCCUACAAAGAUUUUCUUCAGUGAAAGCAAAAACCAGGAGGUCAUUUAAUAAAAGAAAUUUCAUUGAAUUUUUUUUUUUGUAUUUCAAGUUGAAAAAUGAAAAAGAGGUGUUAUGGAGUAUCCAGCACCAUGGGACAAAACUAAGCAUUUGAUUUAAAUAGUAAAACAGUGUCAUGCAGAGAGCUUCUGAAAUAAUGGGCUACGAUAGAGAAACAUCUUUCUCUUUUCAAGACGUUCCUUUAUUCUGUAAGAAC